RNAcentral lists this unclassified non-coding RNA (332 nucleotides) under soil metagenome. RNAcentral's name for it is "partial contains 5.8S ribosomal RNA, internal transcribed spacer 2, and large subunit ribosomal RNA". The stretch from base 1 to 120 matches the Rfam family "5.8S ribosomal RNA", at positions 35 to 154 of the family's 154-position model. The record is from RNAcentral.
GAUGAAGAACGCAGCGAAAUGCGAUAAGUAGUGUGAAUUGCAGAAUUCAGUGAAUCAUCGAAUCUUUGAACGCACAUUGCGCCCUUUGGUAUUCCUUAGGGCAUGCCUGUUCGAGCGUCAUUUAAACCUUCAAGCUAAGCUUGGUGUUGGGUGACUGUCCGCUUCACGGCGGACUCGCCUCAAAAUUAUUGGCGGCCGGUACAUUGGCUUCGAGCGCAGCAGAAACGCGAACUCGGGCCCGUCGUAUUGGCUCCCAGAAGCUAUCUUCACAAUUUUGACCUCGGAUCAGGUAGGGAUACCCGCUGAACUUAAGCAUAUCAAUAAGCGGUGGA